Heterocephalus glaber (naked mole-rat) is the source of this 943-nucleotide long non-coding RNA. RefSeq lists it as uncharacterized. The record is from RefSeq and is a predicted model, not a curated record. NCBI's taxonomy places the organism in Eukaryota, Metazoa, Chordata, Mammalia, Rodentia, Bathyergidae.
AGGUGAGGCUGCUGGGAGGUGGUGCGUGCCCUCUGAAGUGGGUUAGAGCCUCCUGUGAGACCCUGGAGAAAAGGUGCCAUCUAGGAGAAGGGUCCCUAACCUGACACUGUCUCCAAGAGCCUGGAUCCUGGACUCCCAGCCUCCAAAGCUCCGAGGAGUGAGACCCUGCUGACUGGAGGGACAAGAAUAGAAGCAGAGGAGACACCAUGGUGGCCUUAAGCAGGUGUUGGCAGUGGUCACAGCAAGGAUGGCAAGAAGUGUUCAGACCUGAAAUAUACUUUGGAGACAGAGGCUAGAGGCCUGGAGGCACAGCUGUACUCAGUGGAGCAAGACUGUUCAUCCUUCCAGGAGGUCACCUGAAGCUCAGCCAGGAUGGCAUGCUCUGCCCUGCAAACUCCGCAGAAGGAGCCCAUCUCUGGCCCCGCUCCUGUGACUAUGAGGAGUCUCCGCUGCCAGGCUUCCACCCUAAAAAGCAGCAUUGAUGACACAGACACCGGGGACCCUGGAACCAGGAGGGCAGAGGCUGCUGAGCCAACUGUGUCACUGGGGCCCUGAAUGUGUGGGGUUGAGCUUGACAGGCCAGGUCCCCACGCACGUAAUGAGAUGGUAGGAGAGCUGAGGAGUGGCGCACCCCCUCCCAGCAGGGAAGACACAGCCUGAACCCCGAGAUGCAGACAGGGAGGGGCCGCCUAGGGGAGGCCACGGCCCAGUGGGUUUCCUGCGAUGGUGCCCUUCUCCUGUCCUUCAUUCAGACUGCACACGUUAUCUUACUGUAAUAAAUACAUCCUGUCUGGCAACACAACCUGGAUUACCUACUGAAGAAGCCAAUGAAAAAUGGCCAGGAUCUUUCUAGGGUUUCCCCUUCUGCAUAGCACAAGAUUCAUCAGCCCCUCUCACGACUGUGUGGCCAAAGGCAAGUCCGACUGCACUGGUGUGAACCCUG